RNAcentral lists this ribosomal RNA (465 nucleotides) under uncultured Nitrospirales bacterium. RNAcentral's name for it is "partial 16S ribosomal RNA". It matches the Rfam family "Bacterial small subunit ribosomal RNA", at positions 338 to 794 of the family's 1533-position model. Lineage: Bacteria; Pseudomonadati; Nitrospirota; Nitrospiria; Nitrospirales. The record is from RNAcentral.
CCUACGGGAGGCAGCAGUGGGGAAUAUUGCUCAAUGGGCGAAAGCCUGAAGCAGCAACGCCGCGUGGGGGAUGAAGGUCUUCGGAUUGUAAACCCCUUUCGACCGGAACGAAUCCCCUCCUGGUGAACAAUCAGGAGGAUCGACGGUACCGGGAGAAGAAGCCACGGCUAACUCUGUGCCAGCAGCCGCGGUAAGACAGAGGUGGCAAGCGUUGUUCGGAUUUACUGGGCGUAAAGCGCACGCAGGCGGUUUGGUAAGUCAGAGGUAAAAGCCCACGGCUUAACCGUGGAAUUGCCUUUGAUACUGCCUUUCUCGAGGGCAGGAGGGGGAAGCGAAAUUCCCAGUGUAGAGGUGAAAUGCGUAGAGAUCGGGAGGAACACCCGUUGCGUAGGCGGCGCCCGGGCCGACACCUGACGCUGAAGCGCGAAAGCGUGGGGAGCGAACGGGAUUAGAUCCCCUUGUAGU